UGCCAGCAGCCGCGGUAAUACGUAGGGGGCAAGCGUUAUCCGGAUUUACUGGGUGUAAAGGGAGUGUAGACGGAAGUGCAAGUCUGAAGUGAAAGCCCGGGGCUCAACCCCGUGACUGCUUUGGAAACUGUGCUUCUAGAGUGUCGGAGAGGUAAGCGGAAUUCCUAGUGUAGCGGUGAAAUGCGUAGAUAUUAGGAGGAACAUCAGUGGCGAAGGCGGCUUACUGGACGAUAACUGACGUUGAGGCUCGAAAGCGUGGGGAGCAAACAGGAUUAGAUA
This 279-nucleotide ribosomal RNA is filed under the name uncultured bacterium. RNAcentral describes it as "partial 16S ribosomal RNA". It matches the Rfam family "Bacterial small subunit ribosomal RNA", at positions 506 to 784 of the family's 1533-position model. The record is from RNAcentral.